UACGUAGGGGGCAAGCGUUGUCCGGAAUUACUGGGCGUAAAGCGCACGUAGGCGGCUUUGUAAGUCAGAGGUGAAAGCCUGGAGCUCAACUCCAGAACUGCCUUUGAGACUGCAUCGCUUGAAUCCAGGAGAGGUGAGUGGAAUUCCGAGUGUAGAGGUGAAAUUCGUAGAUAUUCGGAAGAACACCAGUGGCGAAGGCGGCUCACUGGACUGGUAUUGACGCUGAGGUGCGAAAGCGUGGGGAGCAAACAGG
This 253-nucleotide ribosomal RNA is filed under the name uncultured bacterium. RNAcentral's name for it is "partial 16S ribosomal RNA". It matches the Rfam family "Bacterial small subunit ribosomal RNA", at positions 524 to 776 of the family's 1533-position model. The record is from RNAcentral.